This 443-nucleotide ribosomal RNA is filed under the name uncultured bacterium. Its description in RNAcentral is "partial 16S ribosomal RNA". It matches the Rfam family "Bacterial small subunit ribosomal RNA", at positions 338 to 795 of the family's 1533-position model. The record is from RNAcentral.
CCUACGGGGGGCAGCAGUGGGGGAUAUUGGACAAUGGGGGGAACCCUGAUCCAGCGACGCCGCGUGAGUGAAGAAGUAUUUCGGUAUGUAAAGCUCUGUCAGCAGGGAAGAAAGAAAUGACGGUACCUGACCAAGAAGCCCCGGCUAACUACGUGCCAGCAGCCGCGGUAAUACGUAGGGGGCAAGCGUUAUCCGGAAUUACUGGGUGUAAAGGGAGCGUAGACGGUUAAGUAAGUCUGGAGUGAAAGGCCGGGGCGCAACCCUGGGACUGCUCUGGAAACUAUUUAACUUGAGUGCAGGGGAGGUAAGCGGAAUUCCUAGGGUAGCGGUGAAAUGCGUAGAUAUUAGGAGGAACACCAGUGGCGAAGGCGGCUUACUGGACUGUAACUGACGUUGAGGCUCGAAAGCGUGGGGAGCAAACAGGAUUAGAUACCCCAGUAGUC